RNAcentral lists this ribosomal RNA (442 nucleotides) under uncultured bacterium. RNAcentral's name for it is "partial 16S ribosomal RNA". It matches the Rfam family "Bacterial small subunit ribosomal RNA", at positions 338 to 795 of the family's 1533-position model. The record is from RNAcentral.
CCUACGGGCGGCAGCAGUGGGGAAUAUUGCACAAUGGGGGGAACCCUGAUGCAGCGACGCCGCGUGGGUGAAGGAGUAUUUCGGUAUGUAAAGCCCUAUCAGCAGGGAAGAACAAUGACGGUACCUGACUAAGAAGCACCGGCUAAAUACGUGCCAGCAGCCGCGGUAAUACGUAUGGUGCAAGCGUUAUCCGGAUUUAUUGGGUUUAAAGGGUGCGUAGGCUGUGAGGUAAGUCAGCGGUGAAAUGCCCCCGCUCAACGGGGUGAAGUGCCAUUGAUACUGCCUUGCUGGAAUGCGGAUGCCGUGGGAGGAAUGUGUGGUGUAGCGGUGAAAUGCAAAGAUAUCACACAGAACACCGAUUGCGAAGGCAUCUCACGAAUCCGCGAUUGACGCUGAUGCACGAAAGCGUGGGUAUCAAACAGGAUUAGAUACCCCUGUAGUC